This 509-nucleotide ribosomal RNA is filed under the name uncultured bacterium. RNAcentral's name for it is "partial 16S ribosomal RNA". The stretch from base 20 to 329 matches the Rfam family "Bacterial small subunit ribosomal RNA", at positions 47 to 358 of the family's 1533-position model. The record is from RNAcentral.
GACGAACGCUGGCGGCGUGCUUAACACAUGCAAGUCGAACGGAAAGGCCCUGCUUUUGUGGGGUGCUCGAGUGGCGAACGGGUGAGUAACACGUGAGUAACCUGCCCUUGACUUUGGGAUAACUUCAGGAAACUGGGGCUAAUACCGGAUAGGAGCUCCUGCUGCAUGGUGGGGGUUGGAAAGUUUCGGCGGUUGGGGAUGGACUCGCGGCUUAUCAGCUUGUUGGUGGGGUAGUGGCUUACCAAGGCUUUGACGGGUAGCCGGCCUGAGAGGGUGACCGGACGCGGUGGGUACGCGUGGGCGGCGGGAGUCCGGGGGGGGGCAGGGGGGGGGAGUGACGGACGGGGGGCGGGAGGCGGGGCCGGCGACGCGGGGGGGGGGGUGGCGGGCGGGGGGGUGUAAGCCGGUUGUGCGGGAGCCGAGGCGUUAGUGACGGUAGUGAGUAAAGCAGCACCGUCAGAAGACGCGCCAGCGGCCGGGGUAAGAGGAGGAAGAGCAACCGUCGGACC